This 8630-nucleotide long non-coding RNA is filed under the name Brassica napus (rape). RNAcentral describes it as "long non-coding RNA (BNAP_LNC003085)". The record is from RNAcentral. Lineage: Eukaryota; Viridiplantae; Streptophyta; Magnoliopsida; Brassicales; Brassicaceae.
ACUGGUAUUUUAUUAAAAGGAAAAAGGCCCAACUAGGCCCAUUCCAUAACAACAAGAGACAACAGGCCUAAUAAACGGGUCAGACUGUACAAACCGCUCUGGGCCUAAAGCCCAAAACGAAAACCGGAUGAGGAAGGAACUGACAGCUUGCCCACCACGUGUACGAACGCCCAGCAUCCUGAGACACGUGUCAAGGCGAGAGUCAGCCAUCUUUCACCGGCACUGCAACGGAGAGGCGACGGACUUCCGCCGUCAGCAGAACUGAAGCCGAUGAAGAAAGAAACUCAGACAGAGCCUUCUUCACGGUUAGCCAAAUCGCUUCCGGACCAGCCAUUUCCAAAAGAUUCAAUCGUCUUCAAUCAUCCCUUAACCAUCAAUCUUCCAACAUGCAAAUCAGACCGACGAGGUCAAGGAAGGAGAGUCGAUUGGGAAGAAGAAGAGCAGAAACGCCGGCCAGACUAAACCGGGAUAACCCCGAUGAAAAGCCGCCGUCAACACCAAAGACGCGUGACGCGGAGCCAAAAGCCGGCGAUACGGAGCUGAGAAAUACUCCGCAUCCCAAAGUCAAAAGCCAGUCGUUUUCCGCCGGAGAAGAACGCGAGAACGCCGGAGACGAAAGCCGGUCGGAUGGACCGUAACCGGAGAACAAAAAGAGAGACCUCUCUCACUCUCAACACAACUCUAACCUCUCUGAAAGAUAUGGAUUGAUAAGAGAGGAAAAGAUCGAGAGAGAACUCUCUCUCUAGGAGAGGAGAGAGACUCCCUUUGUUUGUUGUAAUCCGUAUUACAAUGUCCUAUGGAGUUUCAAAUAUAAGAGACGUGUAAAAGAAAGAAAAACAUAAUCUUAUCCUAACAUAAGUUUGAUGAGUAUAUUGAUGCGUGUCGACAUAACUCCUUUACAUUUUGUCUACUUUUCAACUUUGUCUUCUCACUAUGUAGAACUACCAAUAUUAACUGAUAACAUUUUGCAAUAUAAAUAAUAAAAAUUAAAUUCAGUUUUUAACUUUUAAAUUUGGAUUAUAGCUCAAAGUCAAAAGUUGUCUCGAUUAUACGACUAGUGAUGGAUUUGUUUUUUCAUUUAUCAAAUAUGAGUGGGGAAAAGAAUUACUUGAUUUGUUGAAGAUAAAAUAUUGUGGAGUAGAAAAGAAGAUGUAUCUUGAUAAUAUUAAAAGUAAGAAGGAAGAUGAGGUGGGCAGCAAAAGUAAAGUACAAAGUUGCAUGAUUGAGAUGGAUGUUUCAUGACCAUAUUAUAUAUAUAUUAUCUGAUUUACAUUUUAUUAACAAAGUUUCAUUCUGUCAAAAAAGGUCUCAUUAUCCUUUUUAACAUGUGAUCAAUUAUACGAAAAUUCAAACUAGCUAACUCUUGGUUUACUAAUUACAGACUUUAACUAUUGGCAUUUUUCUUGGUCACUGUAGAAACCUUGAACGAUGUUUUGUAAAAACUUUAAACGAUGAUAAUAUACGUUGCUAAUCAAAUAUCACAUAUAAAUGUAUGAGUUUCACCUGUCUAUAAUCUACUGAUCUACAUAGGAUUGGAUAUCGAUGUAGUCAUGUGGACACAAAGUCAAGUCCUAUUGGGAUUUACAAGUUACUUCAAGUCGAUGUUUUAAGUUGAUUGAUAACUAAUUUGCAACUGAUUUAACAGAUUGAAUUUGUAAAUCGUGUUAAGGGAAUAAGGCUCACUUGAUGAUAGAAAGCUCUGGUUACCAAAUUACCUAAGUCUUUUUUCCCUGUAGAAACUCAUGUGGGUAUUCUGUUGUUGUUCAUCGAGAGUGCUUCAAGUUGUAGAAAGGGAAGACUAAGAGUUAGAUCGGAUUUUAUAAUACAUAAACGAUCAAAUGGAGUUUUUUUUGUUGGCGAAAUGGAGUUAUUUGUUCUGUGACUGUGCUUCUGUGUAACAAUGUCGCAACUUGCCAAUUUAUUUUUAACAUCUUAAGUAUCUUUGGAAAUAAUAUAAGGAAAAUAAUAGAGAGGGGAAAUUUAUUUAAAAUUAUUAGUGGAAGUUACAUUGGUCCGGAUGAUGCAUGUGGGAACUGUGGGACUAGAGAACCUGCAGGCUACAGUUAAAUGGUUUGAUUUAGUGAUAACAGUUCACUAAAAGCAAGAGUGCUUUUGUAUAUAAACCCAAAAAGUUAGAAUACUUUACAUGUCUUCUAAUGUGGGUUGCCUGCACGAAACAUCUCAUUUCUUAUCUUACUUUCUUCAGCAUUAAUUAUGGGACUAGUGAGUCUGGUGCCACAUAACUGGGUCUCAAGAAGAUGUAUUGACUAUCCAUAUUUGAGCCCAAAUACUGGUUGGAAUCUAAUAGGCCUAACUUUGAGCCAAUUCAGAUGCUCUUUCAUUGAAUCGUUCACGAUCUUCAUUGUCUCGGAUUAUAAUACUUGAAGAGAUUGAUCACCAAGGCAAUCAGCAACAAGAGCAUACGACAUACAAACGACCGAACAAUUCAUUUCAUGAACCAUGGCUAUGACUUAUGAGCCCUGCAUGUUACUUUGUUUCAUUUACAGUAUUCUACUAUUUUACGUUUGAAAAAGAUACUAUAACAUAAUAUAGUUAAACAUAUGGCAGUGUAUUGAAACAAGCAUGUUAUGAGUCUUAUAAGUUAUUACUUACGAGACACAUGUGAUACUGGUUGCUUAGUCCCACCUACAGUAUUUCUACUCGCAUUAUAAUCUAUAUAUAGAGAUCACAGACAUACAAAUUUAGAAGUAGUACACCAUGUUUGUGAAAGAUAAAAGGGGAAAUAAAAAACGUGGACAAAUGAGAUGUAGAUAAGUGUUGUCUAAAGCUAUGGAAAAUAUAUAAAAAUAAAGUGAAAUAGCUUUUGAGUUUUCAUAGGUUUAGAACAAGAGAUGUCCCUAACUAUUAUCAUCCUUCUUUCAUUUUUUUUUCAAAUUUUCGUUCCUUGUCUUUUUCAAUCAUUUGUUUGAACUCUUCUGUUUUUAACUUCUCCCAUUAUUUGUUGGAAAAAGAACUUCACAACGCUAAAUUUUAUCAUGUGCGAAAGAAUCAUAGCUAGAUUAGUGUUUUUACUAAUCAUGUAUGUACCAUUUUUACCGGCCCAAACCAAGAAUAAGUAUACACACAACACCAGGAUCCUGAUAUUUUUUGUGUACAGUUCAUUUUCGAAGUAGAAAAAAAUGGGACACUGAUCUCAUUGAAGAAAAAGGAAAACAUAAUAUCAUUUUCUUAUGAUUUAUCUUAGUUGGGAAAUACAAUAUACAUUUGUCAUUCAUGAUAUAUGUUAUAAUCUUUAAACUUCAAUUUUUCUCUCUUUGUACUCUUUUGUCAUAUAGUUUACAUGUUCAUUUUUGAGAGUGAAGACAUACUUCAAAUUAAUUUGUUGUCCUCUUUCUCUCAGUCACUUCUUAAAGUACACUUGGUUGAUCAUAUCUUAUCCUUGAAGAUGCCUCCUCUCUUUUUAUAUUGUUUAAUUUAUUUUUGUGUGAAUGGCCACCUCGUCUGUUUAAUAUAUUUAAUCGUCGUGUUAGAUUAAUGAUAUGUUUUGUUAGAGUAUCAAACCGAUCUGAAACGAAAACAUUAUACCUUAUGUCUUAAAAAAAUCAAUGGUUUGUAAAUCGAAUAGGCCAAGAACACCAAAUAAGGUAACUAGAGUUUUCUUUUAAUUAGUUGUGGAUUUGGCUCGGUGAAACUGAGAGAGGAGUGCUAAAAGAAAACACGUGGUUGGUGAACAUAAUAAAAGGCCUUCAAAUGUCGACAACAAAGGUACAAACCAAUACACAUACACAAAAUCGAAAGCACAAAAAAGGAGAGUGUUGAGUGGUGGACAUUCAAUCUUCUUUAGGCUCCAGAUUCAAACUCGAGACAAACAAAACCCACCCGCUCACUAUGUUAAGUUAAAUAUUAACCCAACAAAUGGUACAAAGGGAAAACGACCUAUUUCCACACCAGAAGUUUCAUAUAGUAACAGUUCCACACGAUCUUUCAACCUCGUCUUAAUUGCACAUAUAUAGAAGUUGUACAACCUAUUUCCCCACAAUGUCAAAGUUCGAAACCCGAACCCACAUGGCUUCGGUUAUUCAUCAAUUUAGUGGUUCAGAAGAGGUAACCAAACCGAAAGACAUAAAAUAACCCGACCAGAGAUCCUAUUUUAACCCGGUUGGAAUCCAGUUUUAAAAACCCCCAAUUAUACGAACCCUAAAAACGAACCCAGAACUCUCUCCUUCAGCUGGUGAAAAUCGAAAAUGAGCAACAAAAGUGGAGCUUCGUCAGGGACGUCGAAACAGACAUAAAAUCUGUUGAACACAUCAAAUCCUUCCUUGUUUUUCACACAAUCUAACUCAACUGACGAGUUCUCAUUUGACACCUUUAUCUCUGAGCAAUAAUCACGAAGGCGACUAAACUGCUCAUCAUACUCUCGUUCAAUCCACCUUAAUGCUUUGUUCCUAGCAUGUUGACAUUGAGGCCUUGUCACAGUAAGCUUCCAUUUCUCCAUCACUAACUCCUCAAUCUUCAUUGGCAUGAAGUAUUCGGGUUCUUCUCGAAUCUUGUCAACAAACAGCCGUGCAAUCACCGGAACUUUCAGCAGCUCACAUGUACCAGUGGGAACACAACUAUGAGCUUCCUUCAAUAUCUUCACUUGCCACUUGUUAGGAGACUUUCCCGAAGAUGAGCAGUAUAUGCGCCAACUACAGCCUUUCCCCGAACAGACAAACUCCAGCUUCGUCUUAUCAUACCGGUUUUGUUUGAUGUUUCGGCCAGAUUUCAGAGCAUAGUCUACCACAGCUUCCUUGAACGCAAUACCACUGAUGAAUACUUGUCCUUCAUACAAGUCACCAUCGCCUCUCCUAAUAUCGCUGCGCCUAUACAUUUUCCUCUGAAUUUCUUUUCCUUCUUCUUCUUCAUCAUCUUCUGUCUCCGGAUACUCGUUGUGUCUGACCGAAGGUUCAUCUACAAAUUCACCAACAUCUUUCUCAAUGUUAAAGUCGUUACGCUCACGUCGAUUUUCACCAUCAGAAUCGUAACCUUUGUCGAAUUCAGGGACGUCAUUCCACUCAACAUUCACAUCAAUCCCUCCUUCCUGAGUCAUUCUACAAGAAAAAAAAAACUAAGAUUAUCAUACUAGAUACUCGAAAUUGAAACAAAGAGUAAGCAAAAUUGAUUUAGUUCAAAACAGAGAGUAAGUAUAAUGGAAACUCGAAAAGGAAGAAGAUGAGGUGACAAACUCACCUGACAUAACCGAUCAGGCAGAAAGAACAGUCGACGAAAUUGAUUCAAAGCUUCAGUCUUGCCUAGGGUUCACGACACUUGAGAGAGAUAAACAGAAUUGGGGUUUUUUCUGGUUAAUAAAAACUGAGUUAGUUGAAUUACGGUUUAAAUAACAAAUCGGGACGAAACCCCCUUGACAAACGGAUUGGUUCAAUCCAUAAUUCAUUUAAGUUAAUGUUUUUUUUUUUUUUGACAGCAAAGAAUUUACAGACUCAUGUUGACUCUGUAAACCAAAUCGGUAACUCCGCAUCCAUGUGAACGACAAAGGACGAUUGUUUCCUAGCACUAUAUAUAUUUAUCAAUCAAUAUAUCAUUUUCUGUUUUCUAAAAACUACAUUAGAAAUAUUUUAAUAUACAUAUAAAUUUACUAUAAUUUACACCCUAUUAUAUCUACAAUGUGUAGUAAAAUUCUAAUGUGAAAUUAAAUUUUAAGUAUAAAAACGAAUAAAUGAUGCAAACAUUGACAUAAACUCAAAGAGGAAAAUAUUUAUAAAUCAUAGAACACAUAUAAACUAAUGUAUUUUGAAAAAUAGGGGUCUUUAAAUUUUGAUGAAAAAUGGGGCCUGAGGCCACUGCCUUUUUCCAUUGCCAUAAGCAACAUGAGCACAAUUGUUAGAUAAAGUUAUUGCAGAUUGAUCAAAAAAAAAAGUUAUUGCAGAUAAGUACGAGUUUAAAUCAAAUUUGAAGAAAGAAAAUGAUGAUGCUUCUGAUAGCUUUUGAAUAGUCAGAUGUGAAGAGCUAAACAAAAGAUAUAAUCUUAAAGGUUAUUGCAUCACCAAAUUUCAGUAAAAUAAAAGGUUAUUGCAUCAUGCUAAUGGGCGCAGAUUCGUGACGCCAUCACGUUGACGUCGUCAUGUAGAAUUAUAUCCGAGAGAGAGGGUUUUAGACGGACGACUUAGAAUGGUCUUUAUAAUGUGAGCCUGUGAGGUCUCAUUAAUCCAUUCAGGACCAAUAAACCACAAGUACUAUCUGAUCCUUUUCCGUCCAUGAAGACUUAUUUAACUAACUUUUCCUUGAGCCCAAACUAUUUUCUUCAUCAACAAUAUUAUCAUAAAUGGAUGGUUAAGCGGUAAGCCUGACCAAUAUCUUUGUUGGUUACAUGACCAAUUCAAAAUGAAAGUAAUUCUACGAUCGAAGGAAAAUAAAAACAAACUUAUUUGAAACCAGUUACGUUUUGUUUGGAAUCAAAAAACCAGUUACGUUUUAAAAUUAGUUCUACGAUAAAGAAAAAAAUAUCCCAAGACGAUUUUUUUAAUAAUAAUUUCUAUGAUUCCAUCUUUGUCAAGCUACAGCCUACAGGCCAUAAAUAAAAACUCAUGCAUAUUUAAAAGGUUGAAUAAUUUUAUGGAACAACCAAAUCUUUCAGAAUCUGCACUGAAUAGUGGUUAGUAAUUUUUUUGUACCAUUGAUUCAUUGUGUGCUGAAAGAAACGGAAUAGUUGAAUUAAAAUGACACUAAACUAUUCACUUUUGAGCAAAAAAAAAACAGGUCGGUGUCGAUCCUGUCGGAGCCGCCCAAGGUGGCAACUUGUUCACACCAUAAAGCCUCACUCAAGUUGGAAGUCGCGGUCGAGUCCGGUCAAGAUUUGUCACCCUUUCCCCGUGUGGGUCCUGCCUCUUUGUCUUUUUCUCCACCAAAAUUUCCACGUUUUUGUAUUCUCCUCCACCAAAUUUUUUAUUAUUGUCGACUGAUAUAUUUAUAUAUUUUUAAAAUUUUUAAGAUUAAAUCAAAAAAAUUUGGUUAAAUCUCACAAUACAUUAGAGCUCUACACGGAUGGGAUAUCUGAAUUUUAAAAAAAAUAUUUGCGAUUUACUUUGUAUAUUACGGAUAUCUAAUUUUCAUUUUAUUUUGCUUUAGAAAAAUAUAAAUAUCCAAAAAAUAGAUAUCUAAAAAAUAAAUAGAUAUUUACGGAUAUUUACGAAUACUUACGGAUAUCUUAUUCGUUUAGAUUAAUACAAAUAAUCUUAAAAAUUUGAUACAAAUUUGUUUUGUAAACUUUUUUUGCAUGGUAUAUAAAAUAAAAAUUAAAAGAAAUAGUGAAUCUACAUAUUUGGUAAAAAGUUUAAAUUUAGUUAACAACUAUAAUAACACAAAAUUUAAGAAAAAGUUAUAAUUAUCAUAAUUUUUUUUCUCUUUUUUUAUAUGAUACUUUUAUAUAAGUAAUAAUGUGAAUAUAAUUUGUCAAAUCAUAUAUUAAAAUAAUAAUUAUAUAAUUUUAUACAUUUAAAACUUUAAAUAUAAUCAAAAUAUACAUGUAUUUAUAUAUUGCUAGAUUGGAACGGAUAUCUGCUUUUCAAAAUUUUAAUAUUUAUGAUUUGUUUCGAUUUUAACGGAUAUUUUGGAUUAAGUAUUUGCUUUGAUUCAAAAAUUUACGGAUAUCCAGAAUUUUUGGAUCAAUCAAAACAAAUAUGAAUCGGAUCAAAUUUAACGGAUAAAAUAUCGAGUCCUACUAUACAUCUUCCCAUCGAUAAACAAAUGCCUUUCUCUGAAAAGGAAUCAAAUUAAGAGAGGGUUCAAAGAUGAACGUUAUAAUAUCAUAAAUAUAUCUAUAUUAAAUAUAUGUUCCAAAAAAAUAUCUGUACUAAUAUAUACAGUUAUUGUCGUGUAUUCUUUUUUUUUUUCCACUGAUAUUUUAUUAAAAGCAAAAAGCUCAACUAAGCCCAUUCCAAAAACAUAACAUGAGACAACAGGCCCAACAAACGGGCAAGACUGUACAAACCGCUCUGGGCCUAAAGCCUAAAACGAAAACCGGAUGAGGAAGGAACUGACAGCUUGCCCACCGCGUGUACGAACGCCCAGCAUCCUGAGACACGUGUCAAGGCGAGAGUCAGCCAUCUUUCACCGGCACUGCAACGGAGAGGCGACGGACUUCCGCCGUCAGCAGAACUGAAGCCGAUGAAGAAAGAAACUCAGACAGAGCCUUCUUCACGGUUAGCCAAAUCGCUUCCGGACCAGCCAUUUCCAAAAGAUUCAAUCGUCUUCAAUCAUCCCUUAACCAUCAAUCUUCCAACAUGCAAAUCAGACCGACGAGGUCAAGGAAGGAGAGUCGAUUGGGAAGAAGAAGAGCAGAAACGCCGGCCAGACUAAACCGGGAUAACCCCGAUGAAAAGCCGCCGUCAACACCAAAGACGCGUGACGCGGAGCCAAAAGCCGGCGAUACGGAGCUGAGAAAUACUCCGCAUCCCAAAGUCAAAAGCCAGUCGUUUUCCGCCGGAGAAGAACGCGAGAACGCCGGAGACGAAAGCCGGUCGGAUGGACCGUAACCGGAGAACAAAAAGAGAGACCUCUCUCACUCUCAACACAACUCUAACCUCUCUGAAAGAUAUGGAUUGAUAAGAGAGGAAAAGAUCGAGAGAGAACUCUCUCUCUAGGAGAGGAGAGAGACUCCCUUUGUUUGUUGU